UACGUAGGGGGCAAGCGUUGUCCGGAUUUAUUGGGCGUAAAGAGCGUGUAGGCGGCUGGGUAGGUCCGUUGUGAAAACUCGAGGCUCAACCUCGAGACGCCGAUGGAAACCCUCCAGCUAGAGUCCGGAAGAGGAGAGUGGAAUUCCUGGUGUAGCGGUGAAAUGCGCAGAUAUCAGGAGGAACACCUGUGGCGAAAGCGGCUCACUGGACCACAACUGACGCUGAUGCACGAAAGCUAGGGGAGCAAACAGG
RNAcentral lists this ribosomal RNA (253 nucleotides) under uncultured bacterium. Its description in RNAcentral is "partial 16S ribosomal RNA". It matches the Rfam family "Bacterial small subunit ribosomal RNA", at positions 524 to 776 of the family's 1533-position model. The record is from RNAcentral.